Molecule: ribosomal RNA, 486 nt
Filed under: uncultured bacterium
Lineage: Bacteria
Description: partial 16S ribosomal RNA
Rfam family: Bacterial small subunit ribosomal RNA
Source: RNAcentral
GAUGAACGCUGGCGGCGUGCCUAAUACAUGCAAGUCGAACGCUGGAGAUCUAGCUUGCUAGAUCGAAGGAGUGGCGAACGGGUGAGUAAUACAUAAGCAACCUACCCACGAAGACUGGGAUAAUCUCUGGAAACGGGGACUAAUACCGGAUAGGUAAUCGGAAGGCAUCUUCUGGUUAUUAAAGGUUAAAAACACUGGUGGAUGGGCUUAUGGCGCAUUAGUUAGUUGGUGAGGUAACGGCCCACCAAGACGAUGAUGCGUAGCCGGCCUGAGCGGGUGAACGGCCACAUGGGGACUGAGACACGGCCCAGACUCCUACGGGAGGCAGCAGUAGGGAAUUGUCGGCAAUGGGGGCAACCCUGACCGAGCAACGCCGCGUGAGUGAAGACGGCCUUCGGGUUGUAAAGCUCUGUUGUAAGGGAAGAACGGUAGAUAGAGAAUAUCUAAGUGACGGUACCUUACCAGAAAGCCACGGCUAACUACGUG